UGCCCCAAUUCAUAGCGAUAACAAGGCC
RNAcentral lists this non-coding RNA (28 nucleotides) under Rattus norvegicus (Norway rat). The record is from RNAcentral. Lineage: Eukaryota; Metazoa; Chordata; Mammalia; Rodentia; Muridae.